GAAUCAUUAAUUUAUUUAAUGAUAAAGGAUUUUGGAAAAUAAUGAUAUUCCUGUCCUAUAAGUGUUGUCUAAAGACUGGUGCCAGAAGACUCGGUAAGGCCAGAAACGCUAACGUUAAUAGUCUUGAUCAGGCGUAAAGGGUUCGUAGGCAUCUCUGUAUAAAAUUAACCUUUUAGAAAAAAGGGCUAAAUCGCCUGUUGUAGGCAAGCUGAAAAGUUAGCAAACAACCAGGAAAAUUAGUGACCUAGGCUAUAAUAAAAGAUAAAAAUUUUAAUAGAAACAGAGAUAGAAUCUUAUCCGUGACAAAGAUAAAUGCCAGAAGUAAGGGUGAAAUCUAUAGAAAUCUGGUGGAAGACUCUGGGCGAAAGCUAUAUGUCUAGAAAAGAUUGACGCUAAAGAACGUAGGUUGGGUUAAGAAAAAAGGAUUAGAUACCCAAGUAUUCCCAUCUGUUAACGAUGAAUAGUAGUCCUUCAGUAAAUUUAACCUAUAUAAAAGCAUAAAUUUUUCAUUGUUUUAUCAAUGUUAUUUUAUCCUUACCUAAUCUUUCUUUUUUCAAUAGUUAUUGGGCAAAGCCUGCCCUUUCUGUAUAAAUUUUUGUGUUUUUUUGUAGGGUAAAGCCGGUCCAUCUAUCACAUUUAAUAAUAUAGGGAUAACAUUAAAGAGGAAUAUUUAGGUUUAGUGUUAAAUAUAUAAAUUGUGAGGCGAAGCUAACGCAAUUACUGUUCCGCCUUGUAAGUACGACUGCAAAGUUGAAAACAAAAAAAUUAGUCGGUCUCGGAGCAAACGAAGUG
RNAcentral lists this ribosomal RNA (792 nucleotides) under Fibrodontia brevidens. RNAcentral describes it as "partial small subunit ribosomal RNA". It matches the Rfam family "Bacterial small subunit ribosomal RNA", at positions 420 to 936 of the family's 1533-position model. Lineage: Eukaryota; Fungi; Basidiomycota; Agaricomycetes; Trechisporales; Hydnodontaceae. The record is from RNAcentral.